UCCAUUCACUACUGUAAGUCGCUCUGGAUAAGAGCGUCUGCUAAAUGACGUAAA
Molecule: non-coding RNA, 54 nt
Organism: Salmo salar (Atlantic salmon)
Lineage: Eukaryota; Metazoa; Chordata; Actinopteri; Salmoniformes; Salmonidae
Source: Rfam